RNAcentral lists this microRNA precursor (104 nucleotides) under Canis lupus familiaris (dog). Its description in RNAcentral is "mir-8834 microRNA precursor family". It matches the Rfam family "mir-8834 microRNA precursor family". RNAcentral also lists the same sequence under 1 other name. Lineage: Eukaryota; Metazoa; Chordata; Mammalia; Carnivora; Canidae. The record is from Rfam by way of RNAcentral.
AGGAGCAACAGCCCCAGUGGCGGGGCAGCUCUGGAAACCUGGAUUCAGCCCCCGCAGGAACUCUGGAGAUCUCCGUCUGCAGGGCCUGGAGGCUCCGGGCGGGG